RNAcentral lists this long non-coding RNA (38234 nucleotides) under Arabidopsis lyrata. RNAcentral's name for it is "long non-coding RNA (ALYR_LNC002860)". The record is from RNAcentral. Lineage: Eukaryota; Viridiplantae; Streptophyta; Magnoliopsida; Brassicales; Brassicaceae.
UAAUUUCACCUAGGAGAAUAAUUAGAAAAUUCAUUUUACACUUUCACUAGAAGUAUUUACCUAAAGGAAGGAAUUUACGGUACACAUUUCUGGAUUAAAAAAAUUAUUAAAAAAAAAAAUGCAAAACAUUUUGGUGGAUUUUCCAUUAAAUGUGAAAUUUUGGUAUUAAGCUUUGUUAGAUUUCAAAAAGGGUUGUUGGUUUAAUAUAAUUUCAAAUUAAUCCACCGUUUAAGAGAAAGUGUGAUUAAUUUUUUUUUUUCAAAAAGAAUUGGACACUUUCUAUACGAAGAGAUGAUGAAUUAUUAACCUCUUUUUCUCUUCUUAAUUAUAUCCAGUCAGCAAUGUUUUUUCAAAUCAUCGUUUUGCAUCAAAAUAUAAAAACACCACUUAGAGUCUAAAUUAACACCAUGGUCCAUAUUAUACAUAUGGGAUUACAUAAUCCCAAUUCCCAAUAAGGUAUACAAACAAAUUAGGGAGACAGAAGAAGUUAAGAAAAUGAUUGACGAAUACAAAGUAGAGAAACUUACGAUCAUGAAUCAAGAUGAUGGCAGUGAUAUAUCCAACAACUCUUUUUAUAUUCCCUUGAAUUAAUCUUUAAACUUUUUUUUCUUGAAAACUUGGAGGCAUAGAAUCAGCACUCAGCAGUACAUGGGAUUCAUGCAAGAAGACGAUGAUGAUUGUCCUAUCAUGAAGACAUAUCAAAGAUCUUUCGAAUCUCUGUUUUUUUUUUUUCACUUUUAGGGUUAAAAAGCAAAAGCCAGGAAAAGUAAAAAGUAAAGCCUAUCGAUGUGAUUACACCAAAAAUCAAAAUUUUAUUCCCUCUAUUUUUAUCAAUAAGGAUGGACCUCCAUUAUAUAGCUGACUGUUAGAUUUUAGCAUCUUUUUUUCAUGAUUGAGACUUAGAAUCAUCAACUUUUCCUUAACUUUGCUUUAAGUAAAUUUUGGUUUUAGAUGUGAUUGAAGUGGAUAUAUUUCUCCACCGCUGGUUUAUAUGAUCAUAAGGGAAUAAAUGUUUUCACAUAAAAAAGUGAAAAAAAAUUUUGAACACCAUAGGUCCAUACCUUUUUCAUGUCUAUGUCUUAUAUCAUACUAGAUAUGGACCCGUGCAUUGCACGGGUUGCCCGUCAAAAUUAUCAUUCUUAAUUUUUUUAUUUUAUUUUUGUAAGCUUAACUAAAAUUGUAUAAACAUAUAUGUUUAAAUUUUAGAAAAUACAGCAUUUUAAUUAUUUUUAAAUAUAAAUUUACUAUGCAUAAUGCGCAAUAUAAAAUACUAUUUGUAGUUAUAUAUGUUACACUAAUUAUUAAAUCUUCUUAUAUAAAUAUUGACCUAUUUAUAAAAUUAUAUAAUUUUUUGUUUAUUGUAAGUUAUGAUAUUCAUAAAAUGUUUAUAUGUUGUAUCAUUGAAUUUUAAUAAAUUAUUAUUAUUAUUAUUUUCUUCAUUUUAGUAAAUUAUUUAAAUCCAUCGGAAGAGUGUUACAUCUUAUAAUUUUAAUGUGGACAAUUUAAAAACAAAAAUAUGACACUAAAUAACUUAAGAAUAAAACAAAAAUAAAAAAUUACCAUUUGACUAAACAAUGUCUAUUUGCUACAUGACUUUUGUUAAUUUUUACCCCAUAUUACCCAUUUAUUUUUCGUUCUCUCUUUUUUUCUUCCCCUCGCCGGCGAAAAAGUCUCAAAUCUCUCUCUUUCUCUCAUUAGAUUCUCUUAUUUUUACUCGAUCUUCUGUUUCUCCUUUUCUCACUCUUGUCGGAUUCUUUAGUACCAUAUCUUUUUUCUUUUUCUCUAUCUCCAUUUCUCUCCUUCGUCGGGCAUCACCACCGAGUCUCACUACUCCGACCCACCACCACAACUAGAUCUCAUUACUAUCACAAUCACCACCACCAUCAAUACCAAAUCUCGCUAAUUUUGACCCACCACCUUCGUCAAUAUUUACCGCCAACACCACCAUACUUGAAUCACAGUCAUCAACACCAAUACCACGAUUACCGUCUCUUGUCAUCUUUCUCCAACUGCACUUAAUUAUUUCUCCACCUUCUUUAGCUCCUCCGACAUCGGGCCGAGCCUUUGCGACAACAACUCUAGUCUAUGUCCAUCGUCAUUCAUAAUUCUUAAUUUUUCUCCACUGUCAUAUAUUUCUUGGAUCUGAAUAUCACAUGCUAUUUUUAGAAAACCAUUAUGAUUCAAAGUGUUUUUUUUUUUAUAAAUGACAUGCUAUUUUUUUAUAAGUGUUUUCAACAAAUGAUGAAUGCAUAUAAUUUUUACAUGAUUCAUGUUAUUUUUUAAAAUUACCCUAUCAACACUUCCGUAACCAUCAACCACCACCAUCGUCACCUCCAUAACAAUCACAUACUACUUUUAUUUUUUUUAGUAAGACAUGUUAUUUUAUUAAUUUCUCGUUAGAUGUCUCUCUUUCGUCUCAGAAUUCUAGUAUUGAUAAUCUUUAUUUUUAGAUUGCGUUUUAUUAGUAUUUAUUUCAUGUUUUUUUUCUCCAAAUUACAAUAUGUUGUCGUAUGUUUGUCUUUUGGUUGAGAGCCAUUUUUUACCAAUAGAAAAGUUAAAGCAAUGAUGGUGUUUCUGAAUAAAUAAGUUUGCUUGGUGAAAAAUAUGAAACAAUCCAUUUGUUUAUCCUUUUUCUUAUACGAUUAAUAAAUGAUUUUAUAAUUUUUUAAAUCUUUUUUCUAUAUUUAAAUCUUUAUAUUGUACAGUUAGUAACUUCUAAAUAAACAUUUUAGCAUAAUUUUAUAAUUUCGUCUUUUUGUGGAAAAUAUACAUAUUAUUUUCUUAUAUACAUAUAUUUUUCUUUUUAUAUUUUUAAGUUGUUAAAAACAAAACUUUUGUUUACUAUAUGGCAAAAUCUCUUAUGGAAAUAUAGGUAUAAUUUCCUUCUAGUUAUCUUUUUACAUUUUAAAACUUUUUAAAUUUACAAUUUUUUUAUAAUUAACUUUUUUUAUAAAUAUUUUUUACAUUUUUAAAAUUAUUUAAAUUUAUAAUUAUGUACAAUUAUCUUUUUAUAUAUUUUAAAAAGGAAAUUUUUGUUUUACACGUGUCAAAAUCUAAGAUCGAUAGAUUUGACACAUGUCACGAUCCUAUGAGUUAUUAACUUUGAAAACCAUAUUUUAUAAUAAGAUAUGGCUUUUAAACCUCAUAAAAAACAACGCCGUUUAAAGUAUUCGAUUGGGUUAAAAUGAGUAUAGGUGUUAGGCCAUUUAUGGAUUUGGGCUUUUCUGUAUCAAAGUUAUGGGCCCACAUUUUCCUCUGUUGCAUAAUAAUAUUCUUCGUUACCAUUUUAUGGCAACAAAUGGGUUAAAGUAUUUCGAUUAAACGGACUAUAUAUGUGAAUCUUUAACAUUCGUCCACCAUUUGUUAUAUACACACACGCAAGUAUUAAUAUAUUAACCGUUCUCGUUAUGAGUCGGAAUUAAUGUGUUAAUUUAAAUCUAACCAGAAUUUUUUUACAGAAUAAAAUACUGCUCCCUGGAUUCUGACAUAUCUCAUGUGGAUGAUGCUUGUAUGAACUAGGAAGUAUUUCGAUUUUUGAAUUGGUCAUGUUAGGUAUAAAAUUGCAAAAGUCAUACUCAUAUGAUAUUAAAUUUGAUAAUACAACCAGUACAUGGUGGUCUAAGUCUAACCUUCAUGUGGUGGACCAAUUGAUAACUCUAGAUUUCAUUUCAAUUGUUAUCCAAGGUGGGUUUGGGGAAAACUCUUUUUCGAAUUAGUACGCUCAUCUCUAGAGUAGACGACCACAUUUAAAAAAAAAAAUUGAAUAUGUGAUGCUUAAUCUAAAAGCAUGUAUAUUUUUGAAAUAGUCUACAAAUUUUCAAUUUUUUUUUUUUUUUUUUUUGAUAAUUAGAGAGUGAUCCGGACUUUUACCAUCCAAUUAAUCUUCUAAGAGUGAGUGUAUCUCUCGAGUAACAUUUUCACUAGAGUUUUUAAUAGGCCUAAAUCUAAUACAAAACAUCACUUAGACAUACCAUUUGAAAAUAGAUCCUGACCUAGAUAUAUAUGAUAAUUUGUUCUCAAGUGAAAACCAUUAGACCUCUACCACUUGGUUAAAUUUUGGAAUAAUUUAUCACAAAUUGGGGUUUAGAAAUUAUUAUGGACUUCUACCUUUUUUUUUUUUUUUUGUUAAGUCGGCAGACUUUUACCUAGAUUUCCUACUUUGUCAAAUUGAAGAUAGAGAUAAUUUAUACUUGGGCGCACAUAUGUGAAAAGAGAAAACAAAAUAGAGUGUGUGUAUACAAUAUACACUUUAAUACACAUGAACACUUCUGCAUUGUUAUGUACUCAUUUUACAUUCGAAAAAAUGGUUUUGGUAGAGACUUUUUACUACAGCGGAGAAAUCGAACUCUUGUUUUUGUACAAACAUGAUACUGAGGAGGAGCUUCCAUUUGUCUUCAACGUGCUCGACGAAAUAUCUGACUGGCUUUUCUCUGUUUCUUCGGUUCUUUCGCCGUUCAAUUCACCAGAAUCAAUGGAAUCACAACUUCUCCGUAAUUGGUCGACGUGACCACCGUUUUUCUCAGAGCAGCUUGCUUCGUCUUCUCCGUUGGGUCUGGUGAAUUCCUGACUCUGAUUCUCGCAUGAUUUUCCCGGAAAAUCGACACUUUCUUUAUGGGUUUUCAUAUGCGAGAGAGAAUUAAUCGAAUCUGCUUCAUUUGAAUCCAUACACUCUCUAAAAACCCUAACUUUCUCUUUCGUCUCUGUUUCAGAUCCAUCACCGUCGAUUUCCUCCAAACCCCGAUUAAUCUCAAUUCUUACAUCUGAAUUCAGGUCUCUGUUGUCUGAAUCAUCCCUCUCUUUGAAAUCAGAUUCAUCCCUCUCUCUCCCAAGAUGAUCUUGACCUUCUUCACCAACUCCAUCGUUUUCCAAAUGUGAGCCUAGUCCUCCCGGAGUUACAUCGACCGGACCGGAACACCGUGGAGUGGUAACACUGAUCAUCGCAAUACCAGCACGACACAGAGGACAAUUGGUGUGAGAACUAAGCCAAGUAUCAAUACAAGAGAUGUGAAAAGCGUGGUUACAUUUAGGCAAUAACCUAAGACUCUCAUCUUCUUCAAACUCGUUUAAACAAACAGGACAAUCUGUUCUCUCGAUUAAACCAUCUCCUCUCUUGUAAUUACAGAUCGUAAUCGAGUUUAUGAUUGAUUGUUGUAGACCUGUUGUUCUGAUUAACCAUAUUGGGUGAUCCACUUGUUCCCUAUCUUGAAACUCUUCUCCCAUUACCGUGUCGUUGUCUUCGUUAUCGGACUGAUAUCUUCCGUGGUUGUCACGGUUUACGCUGUCUGAAACGAAUUUCGCUACAAGAAAGAAUCCGGUUAAAAGGAUGGCUAAGACCGCACCGGUUAUGGUGAUGAUGCUUAUGGCGUCCAAGGAAGAUGAUGAGUUUUGAGUUGGUUGAUAAACGGCUGAGAUUGAUGGAGAUGGAGAUGGAGAUGGAGCUGGUGACGAUGACCAUGGAGGGAGCUGUGGUGAUAUGGCGUAGUAAUCGGGUUCUGGAUAGCAAUUGUAAGGGCAAAUCGGGUCGCAGACUCCGUUCGAGCAGUCUAACGUUUUGUUUGUCUCUGAUGCUAAGGUAGGGAAGAGCUUGCGAUGCUUCUUCUUCGCCAUUAAAGAAAACAAUCAAAACACCAAGUCGUUCGUUGCUUGGAGUACAAGAAAUUGAAAUUAAGAGAAUUUCAUUGAGUUUUUUUUUUUGUGUUAUUUUGAUUAGGUUUUGAUAAUGAAGAAGAAGAUUUGAUAUUAUCUUUGGGUUUCUCUUUCACAUUAAUGAGAAAGAUGAAAAUUUCUUCUCAUCUUCGUUGUUGACUUGUUCAGUGGAGGUUGAAGCGUCUUCUAAUUGUUUAAUUGGUGAAGAGUCGUAAUCAUGAAAGCCAUAUUUUACCUUUGAGCUUUUGACUCUUUGGCUUUCGAAGAUUUAAGUAAAAGUUUUAAUCUUUUUUUGGGCCUUGGCCAUCGGGCUUCGGCAGAAUUAUAAUAUUAAAAUUAUUUUGAGACUGCAAGAAAAAAAAAAAACUUUUAACUUGAUCUGUUAGAUCUGAUAAAAAUGUUUUCUUAAGAUCACACAUUAGUAGUGACACAAACAUGGUAUACUAUAUAGCAUGUAAUAGACACAGAACUAGAAUAUGCUUAAAGUUUUCCCUUUGAACCAAUUAAGUCUCAAAUGACUACAAUAAUAUUGUUCAUCAUUUCCACUAACUUUUUUUUGUUGAUUUACGACCUAAAAAUAUAUUGAAAAUAAAAAGCUUACUAAUAAUAAUGUUUUAUGUUGUAAGUUGUAACUUAACUAGUGUCAUCUACGAUAUAAUUUGUUUUUACAGCUUACAAUUUUUAGGUCGUCCAAUCGUCAAGAUGUACGAAACAACUCUGCAUGAGUAAAACUUUCAAAAAUUCAGUUCCACAAAAAUGGAAUAACAUGCAAUACAUACUCUAUUGGUUUAACCACAUACGCAUGUAAGGAGUAAGAACUCUAAUUUCCUCAAUUUACCAAUAGAUAAAACUUAAAAGAGUAUGACUCUAAUUUUCUCAAUUUACCAUUUUAGGAAGUUCUUUGUACACAAAGACAAAGCCUCUAAUGUUUUACCAAGAAUUGGUGUGCUGUCCAAGUUAACUAUUUAGUAUUUCACUGGUGUGCAAAUUGUUUUUUGUUUUUGUUUUUUUUUCAGGAAGGUUCUUUAUUUUCUUAACAAUUGUCCAAUAUCAACACACUUGGACAAAUUUCAAAGAAUAAUGGGCUGCUUAUGAAAAAAAUUAUUAGAUGUUUUAUGGACCUAAACUAAAAAACCCAUUUUUGCUGUUUAAACAGGCCUAUAAUAGUCUACUAAAAACAUUAUAGUAUUAUUUGAGUACCUUACAAAUGCGAAAGACAAAUCAAUGAAUAAUAGUCAACAUUAACAUAAUUUAGUUAAUACUCCCUCGUUUUAUUUGUCGUUUUAGAGUUAAAAUUUUGUUUCAUAAUAGUUAUCGUUUUAGGUUUUCGAUGCAAAUGUUUUGUGAAAAUUCCAGUUUUAUUCCCACUGUUUUAAUGUUUCGGCCAAUGAAUUUUUUAUAAAAUAUAUAAAUAAAAGGUAAAACAGAAAAUUUAAUGUUUUUCUUAAUAUGUGUGAAAAAACUUUAAACGACAACUAAAACGAAACGGAUGAAGUAGUUAAUACUGUAUAUUGCUUUUAUGUGGGCAGUCUAACGACCAGCAUAAUUAGUUGCUGCGUCUCUAUCAUAUCAUGUGCAUGCUUUGUUUUGCACCUUUCGGUGAGAUAGAUUUUGUUUUUUUUCAAACUAAUUACUCAACUAUCACCUUUUUAGUAACUUAGAUUCUAAAUUUAGUAUGACUGAAGCAUUAUUGUACAAUUUUAAGAAAUCUAUAUGUUUCGCAGAAAUUUGAUUUUGAAAGGAGAAACCUCCUUGAUUUGUUGUUUACCAUACUAAAUAUUAGUCAAAUAAAAUGUUAUAGAACGAGGUCUACGACUCUUGUUAGUGUUAAAAAAAUUAAUUAAAUUAAAUUAAUAUACGUCACAUACUCGAUAUUUAGUUGUUGCAAAGUCUCAGUGAUUGCUCGUAAGAAAAGUUUGUUCAUCUGCUUUUGGUUUGGUCCAUUAUAUUGAAUCAUUAAGCGAACUUUGAUGACACAUCGUGACUACUUUGGUUGACAUCAUCAUUUAUCUUUUUACAAAGGGUUUUUGAGUGUGACUUUAUGAUGUGUCACCAAACCUCUUAUGACCCAUUGUGUAGCAACAUUUCCUUUUGUUGAUGUAUGUCUAAAGCUAGAGCAGAGGAGGAACAAGUCUUUAUCCCUAAAUAUGAAAAAAGUUUUCAAAACUUAAAUGAUAUGAGAGAGCUUUAGUUGGAGGGUAAGUGGACCUAACUCUACUAACUCCAACAUAUCCUUUAAUUUGUUUCCAAUCUCUCUAUAUAUUUGAUCACAACUUACAAGGAAUUUCCUUUGUCACACAAUUUUAUUAGAAUAAAGAUACUGUUACACUCAACACACAAAAAUGGCAAACUUGAGUACACUUGUUGGUUUUCUUGUCAUCAUCUUCUUCAAUGUGUUUGCACCUGCUUCUUCUGCCAGUCACCCCGUCGAAUGGUCGCUCGGGAAAGACUAUAGCUCGUUGGCUACCGGAAAGUCCUUCGCUGUUGGCGAUACCAUCGGUAUGUACAUAUACAUUGUCUCUCUUAUACGUAUAGUCUGCAAUUGUUUCAACCACUAAUACAUGCUUUUGCAUUUACAUGUGAAAGUUUUACAUUUUAAAAGCAUUUUUUAAAAGUUUUUUGAUAAUAUCCUUUUGUAAAGUACGUAUAAUCUUUCUGUGUUUGCCAUUAACAUAAUGCUUUUAUACCUUGUUUGCAAAAGAACAAUUUCGAAGUCAUAGUUGUAAAUUUGUAAUAUAGAUUUAUAUGAAUGUGUACAUUGUGUUGCGUAUAGUGUUCAACUACGGUGCGGGUCACACGGUGGACGAAGUGAGCGAAAGUGACUACAAGAGUUGCACAUUGGGGAACGCAAUUUCUUCGGACAGUAGUGGAACCACAAGUAUAGCUCUCAAGACAUCUGGUCCUCACUACUUCAUCUGCGGUAUCCCCGGCCACUGCACCGGCGGCAUGAAGCUCUCUGUCACCGUUCCAGCAGCUUCAUCAGGCGGCAGUACUGGAGACGGUACCACUGACAAAAAUACACCCGUACAAGACGGAAAAACUACACCUUCAGAAGGUAAAAAGGCUAGUCCUUCUGCUUCGGGCACGGCCGUGUUGAAGCCGUUGGAUGCUUUGGUUGUGACUUCUGUAGUUGCAUUGUUGUAUGCUUUGGCUCUCUCUUAAUUAGUUGGUUUCAAGUGUUUUGCUGUGGUUUGACUCGUUUGAAGGACCAGGCUAGAGGCAGUGCUAUUAUAUGCUUCUUAUUAUUAAUUAUCUCUCAUGAUUUUUCCUAUGUUUUGUCUCGUAUUUUCAUUUCAUUCCCACGAUUUUUUUUUUCGCUUUCUUAGGAAAUAAAAAAGUAAAUUAAAUACGAAGCACCAUCCAUAAAAAUUAACAUUUUUUAAUUGAUACUGCAAUUAACAACCUUGCAAAUUUAGAUAAUAAAAAGUAAAAUUUGCCCUUUUGGAAUUUGUGUAUUAUUCCAAAAGUUCCGACACUAUUCACAUUUUCGUCUGAUUUUUUUGCGUGAUUUACAACAUAAAAUACUAAUGAAUUUGGUAUUGUCCUACCAAAUAUUCUUUAACUACAGAAAUCUGGAGACAACUUUUUUAAUUAAUACUCCAUCCAUUUCGUUUUAUUUGUCGUUUAUGACUUAAAUUUUGUUUCGUAAUAGUUGUCGUUUUAGAUUUUCAAUACAAAUAUUUGGUAAAAAUUACAGUAUUAUUCCUAUUGUUUUAAUGUUUUGGUCAAUGAAAAAAUUUAUAAGAUAUAUUAAUAAAAGGUAAAACAGAAAUUUUAAUGUUUUUCUUAAUUUGUGUGAGAAAACUUUAAACGACAACUAAAACGAAACGGAGAGAGUAUUUUAAGAUUCUGAAAUUAUGAAUACUUAAAUAAAUUAUACGUGGGUUGAUCAUGAAAGACUUGAAAGUUGAAAGUCUAGAGAAAGCAUUGACAACUGCCAGAUGGGCAUUGACCUCAUAGGACAUUUGAGUAUAGAGGCCCAAUAACACCGGCCCACCGACUUACCUAAUUAGGUGGACCCGACUUCAGAUCUUAAUACAUCUAAGCCGUCCAUUUAAAAAACACACAGUAACCACUCCAGAUCUCAUAACUAAAACCAACAAAAAGUUUGGUAUAAAUUAAUAAAGUUUGCAUCUACCCUACCAACUUUUUUCAUUCACACAUAAACAAAAUGUCUAGCUUAUCUUAAGUUCUUAACUAAUUGAUAAAUUAGUAAAUACUGAUGCUGAAAAAUGGUUAUAUAUAUCAGAAUAUCAAAUAAGCUUACAACGAGGACUAAUAAUAAACGAACAAGUGUUAACUAAAUUCGAUAAUAAACAUUUUGAAAACAAAUAAACUUGUGGGCCUAUCUCCUUUUAAAAAAUGAAAAAACAAAUAAGUGAAUGAUCCCGGAAACAUCAUGGAAAUUUAAAACCAGCUUUGCAUUAAAUACACGACACACUUAUAAAUACAAACACGAGAUGUUGAAAAAGAAAAGACAAAUUCAAUUCAAGAACAAAGCUCACGACAGACUCUUAGUUAUCAAUGGCGAAUUUUCUCAUCAACAGAAGAACAAGAAGAACAAUGAAAUCAAAGAAAGCUGAAGAAAAGAGAUCAGAUUCAAAUUCUGAUUCAGACAAUAACUUCUCAUGCAAGAAGCACACGAAACAUAGACAGUCUCCUGGAAUCUGUUCCCUCUGUCUCACCGAGAGGCUCUCUAAGCUGUCUCUGGAGUACUACGACUACACUAAGAAGGCAGCUGAAACGGCGACGUAUUGCGGCUCGUCAUCAACAUCUUCUUCCUCGUCGGUCUCGUCUUGCGACUCUUCUUCUUCGGUCUCUUCUUGUUCAUCUCCUUUGCAAUAUCGGUAUAGAGAUCAGAAGAAGAAAGAUGGGAAGAAACAAAGCUUUUUAUUCAGAUUAUUGCUCGGAUCCAUCGUAGAUUAGUUCUUUUAUUUCACUAGUUUUUUAUUCAUUAUUCACUACCUUUUAUAUUUUCAUUAUUCUUCUAUAUCUUUUCAUUCGGGAAAUGCAGAGAAUCAGCAAGUAAAAUGCAAUUUUCUACCUACAAAGUUGUAUUUUAAUUUUGUUUGUGACAAAAUAAAAGAAGUUAAUCUUGUUUAAUUUGUAAAUACGUCACAUAUCUAACGCUAAUAAUUUACGCAAAAACCAUUAGUUGACGGUUAAAAUAAAAUAACCGUUUACCAAUUUUAUCAAAUUUAAAUUCACCCAUAGUACGUGUUGCAUCAAGUAAAACAUAAUUUCAUGAUAAAAUACUUGAUAUGGUCCUUGGUCCACAGAGUUUGUGUGGACAUUUUUCUUUUUAAAAUUAAAUUUAUAUGGACCAAAUACCAUUAAAAUGUGUUCUUAAUGCGUAAAACAACCACCAUCUUUAAUGCAUUUAGAAAAUCAAUUUUACAUAUUUCUAUGCUAUUUAAAUGUUAUGACAAUUUUAACAAUUCAGCAACAGUUGCAAACCAAAGAAUUCUUUUGACAUUUCAUUUCUUAUAAAAUGUAUAGGAUUUAAAAUUUAUAGAUAAAUAUGUGGCUAAAAAAAUAAUUUUAAAUUAAUCAGUUAGAAACAGAUCAAAUGAAUGGCAUGACUUGAAAAUGUUUAUAAAAUUAAAGAUAUAAAGGUACAUUUAUAUAUAAAAAGGUUACAAUUUUUCUCUUAAUUCUUGGCUGAUCAAUUAAUAUAUGAUAGAAAAAGAAAGAGAAGAGAAUGAACAACAUAUGGCCGGGCCAUGACAUGAUAAGCUGGCACAUGAAUGUUACUAGUUGCCAGAGUGAAUGUAAUGUACGGUUAGAGGACAAAGACGUGUUGUGUACUUUCAUAUUAUUAUAUUAUUCACUUAACAGCUGUUCAGAUUUUAUAUUAAGCCGUACCACUAAUGUUUGAUACAUCCAGUCAGAUAAAUGCAUGUGUGUGUGUGUUGCGCGUCCUUCGAACUUAGAAGAUACUAUAUGAUCGAUCAAUCACCAAUGAAAAGUCCCCGUGAAACUUCUUUGAACAUUAGUCUUUUGUUUUUAUUUAUUUUAUCUGCAAUCAUUGAUUUUAGCUUAUGUUCAAACUGAAGAACUAUUAUUAAUUCCCAUUAAACUAUAGUUUCAAUGAUAGGCAUUAACAAGUUUAAGUGUAUUACAAAUUAAUUAGCCAACUAAUAAGAUUGUAGAAUAUGACAAAUAGUGUAAGUUUAAACAAAAUAUGAUCCGAAAAUCAGACCGAAAUGUAGCUUUCUUUUGUGACAAAUGAUGCAAAGCAAGACGGUUUCAAGGACCAACUAUCCUCAAUAUUUCUAGUAUCUUGUGUAUUAACGAUAUUCAAAAAAAAAAAAAAAAAAAAGAAUCACAACUACUCUUCCUAUCAAUGUUGUGUUGGUCCAGUGGUAAAUCUCCUAGGUAGAGGUACUGGGUUCGACGUUCGUUGGAAGGGAUCUCUUCUCCAAAAGAGAUGAAUUUAACCUGGUGUGGGUCCUGCUUCUGGGAGAUGUAGGACCUUCGGGCUUGAACUUCCAGAUAUUCAGGCUGUGAAUGGUGACCUACAUGUGGUACGGUUUUCAAGCCUUUUAUGAAUAACGCACAUAUAUUCACCAUUCAAGCUUAUUUUAAUAUAUUGACGUUUUUGAAAAAAAAAGAAAAAAAAACAAAUCGCGUAAUUGUCUAACAGAUAAAGCUUUGGACCGCUUUUAAAAUCAGAGGCAGUGUUUACCCAGUGGUCUAACUAAAACCGCACCGGGUAAUACAUGUUUUUUUUUCUUUUUUUUUUUCGAUUUUUUAUGAAAAUAUGCACAUGUGCCAAAAACAAAACUCUCUCUCACUCACACUAUCUCUAACUCUCUCAUAUUUGUGUUUUUUCUUAUUCUUUUUUUUUGAAUAGUUUUUUUCUAGUUUUAAUUUUUUUUGAAUAGUUAUUUUAUAUAAACAAAAGAAUUUACAUAAUUUAUAAUAUUAUAGUUAGUUAAACUGAUUUAGAGUAAGAUAUUGAUUUUAAAGUCUCUAUAUGUUCAUUUUUUCAACUAAUUGUCUUAUAUGUAAACUAUUUUUGUUUAAAUUUUAAACAAAAUUACUCAAUACUAUACUAAAUUAUUAAAACAUUGAUGUAUAUUUUCAUGAUUGGAUUAAAAACGCACAUAUAUAUAUAUAUAUAUAUACACUAUAAAGUAAAAUAUAUAUAAAAAAAUAUUAACUAUACUUUUUAAAACUUAUAUAUGUAUCCUGCAAAUUAUUUUUUCACCAAUCAAAGAUUAUUCCUUACCGCUUAUUCUACAAAAAUCGCACUUCUCCCGCAGAUAUAUUUUUCUCGCAUGUACCGCGGUACGACCGUACCGCACUUAAAACCUGCUUUUUAUAUACCGCCAAAUACGCUGUCACCAUUCAGACCCUAAAAAAAAAAAAUCACAACUACUCUGUUUUUUUUUUUUUUGUACCUGACAACUGCACAUUCUCAAGUAAAAAUAAGAGCAGAUUCUACGCAAGUGAAGUUAUCCAGACACUCACCUGAGUUUGAGAUACAUCAAUACUCACACAUAGCACAAAGUAGAGUUAAAACUUAUAUGAAUUAUGGAGAUUUUGUUUUGCCCUUUUAAGAAAAUAUUUCUAAAAUAAAAAAUAAAAAAUAAUAUUCAAGAGUCUUUUGCGUGGUAAAUUUUUUACUUGUAAUUUCUGAAUAAUAUAGCUUAAAUAUUUAAAUGACAAAAGUUUAAGUAUACAUGCAUAAAUUUAGAUUGCUUGGUUACGGGACUGAUGCAAUCUAAAUUUUUGAUAGAAACGUUCUCUCAAAGAAAGCAUCAUUAUUCAGAAAGCAUUAUUAUUCAAAACGUAAUGCUUUCUUUAGAUGCAUAAGUUUACCAUUAUUGAUAGAAACUCGUUUUAAGAAUGUUAAGAGGUUUCUUCACUUGUCUAGCUAUUUUCCUAGAAUUGCAAAUAAUUUGUCCAUUUUGUUCUCUCUAUAUUUUACGACUUUUAGUUUAGCUAACUUUUACUUUCACAACACCCUUCUCUUUUGUUAGAUUUAAAUUUCUCUUGAUUUGAAUAUAAUGCAGAUAAAUUCAUAUAUUCAAAUAGAAAUGAGAAUUGUAUUAUCUUAGGACAUUUAGCCUAGAAUGAAUCUUUGGCAUAUGAAUAUUUCAAUCAUAUGAAAACAAUCUUUCUUCAACAAUUUCAACGCAUAUUGCAAUUUGAAUUUGCAUUGUGAUUCAUAUAAUAAAGAUCAUUAGAGUGAUAUCUCCGGUCUUGUCCACUUGGAUUUAGUUAUAAAGCCACGUGUCGGUAACACAGCCUGCCCGAAAAAAGGAGGUCAAUCAUUGCCCGGCUGCCCGGGAAAUCAAUUUCAAAUUUCAAAGUAGUAAAAAAGGAUCAACGGUCGUCUAAUAACGUUAAAAUAACCGCAACGGAAAAAUAGAAUCCGAUUCUUAUUACCUUAAACCACAAAUAUUCUCUCUUCUCUUCUUCUUCUUCUUCUUCCCCAAAUUUGAAAUCUCUUCGCAUCUUCAUACUCGUUUCUCUCUAUUCUUCUUUUUGCCUUGCGAAUUUUUCUGUGAAUGGAGGAUUGUUGUGAUUCACUUCUCGCAACUGAUGCAUCUUUGCGACGUGAAAGCUUCUGUCGCUGUGAGAUUUUCGAUUUAAUCUUAUGGAAGAUUUUUGUUUGGUUCUAAUCAAGUUUGCUCACAUUUUUUUUUUUAUCAGCAGCUGAAAAGGAUACAGUAUCGAGCUCAAGGACUAUGACAAUGGUAGAUCUGGAUUCAAAUUGCGAAUUGAGUAAUGGUAAGUCAUUCGAAAAUAUUAAGAAGAGUUGUUAAUUUCUCUCUUGCUUUACUGAUUCUAGAUUUGGAUUUAGAUGUUGAUAUGGAACAAUCAAGCCCGGAUUUGAUGAAAACGGAACAAUCUAGUGAUCCCGUAGCAUUAGAUGGUAACCGAACCUUUCUUUUUCUCUUUUUUGAAAUCAAAAUCGCUUCGUUCUUUGAGAUUAAUGGCGUAGCAUUUGGUUCGAUUUCAGGAAAAGUUGUGUUAGGGUUUUCAUUAGCAUCUCCAGAUCUAGUAAAUUGUGGUGCUUCACCUGAUUUACCUAGAGGUAGCUAUGAAGAUUCUCCAGAAUUUUCUAAGAAAAGAAGAUUUUCUACUGAGCUUUCUCUAGAGAAUGGAAUUGAUGGUUCUACUACUACAAGACAUGGCCGUAAAAGCCAAGUUGUGAAGUUCUCAGCAAUCUGUCAAACAUUUGGCUAUGAGUUGUCUCCUGAGUCUUCUUUUGAGUUACCUUCUCCACCUGUGAACUUUCGGGAGAGUACGACUCCUGUUAUAAGUAUUAACUCGGGUUCUACAAGCACGGAUGUGACUGUGGAUGAUGUAACUUUCUUGAAGGAUGCGUUUUUCAGUGGAGGUGAAAGUAUUACAACUGAUGCUGUUGUUGGCAAUGAAGAUGAGCUUUUGUUGUAUCAAACCGCUCGACUUGGUAAUUUCGCUUACAAGUUUCAGUCAUUGGAUCCUGGGGACUACUUCAUCGAUUUGCAUUUUGCUGAAAUUGAGUUCACUAAGGGUCCACCAGGAGUUAGAGUUUUUGAUAUAUUCAUUCAAGGAGCAAAGGCAAGGCAUCACUGCAAUUAAGCUUUUAUUGUCUUCUUAUUCAUCACAUAUUAUUUAUGGUUUGAUUGAAAAACCAUUUGCAGCAGGUCAUAUCCGGCCUAGAUUUGUUUUCGCAAGUAGGAGCAAAUACACCUCUUGUGAUAGAGGAUCUAAGGAUGCUCGUAGGCCGGGAAGGAGAGUUAUCUAUACGAUUAGAAGGCGUGACAGGAACCGCAAUUCUAUGUGGCAUUUCUAUUAGGAAAGAGGCAACGGCUACUUGUAUGUUGCUUUCUAACCUUUUUGUGUCCUGGACAAUUCUACUAAACUUUUUCACAACUCUGAUCACUGAUUUUUUCUUUUAGAUGUUGAAGAAACUGGAAUGCUAGCGGUUAAAGGUUCAACUGACUCUGUCUUGUCCCAGCAAACUCAAGUGAGGGAUCUUCCACAAGCUUGAUGUUUCUAGUUGAAUUUGGGGUGGUUACAAAAGUUGUAAAUAGUUAAACUGUCAUACUGUUUUUAGGAAAAUGUUGACUGCAGGACAGAAGAAGAGACCGAAGGGACGAGAAGUGACUGUGGGCAGCAGAGGAAAGAGAUGGAGGAUAUGAAGAAAAUGGUUGAGGAACUUAAACAGGAGAACCAACGAAAGACUAGAGAAUGCGAAGAAGCAUUGACUUCUCUCCGUGAGAUUCAAAAUGAACUAAUGCGCAAGUCGAUGCAUGUUGGUUCUUUGGGUAUGUACAUCUCUCUCCUCUAUAUUUCGUCUUCCUGCAAUCGUUAAAGUUGACAUAUAUGUACUUGUUCUUAACUAGCGUUUGCUGUCGAGGGACAAGUCAAAGAGAAGAGCAGAUGGUUCUCUUCAUUAAGAGAUUUGACAAGAAAAUUGAAGGUAUACAGAAGCAAACUUAAAAUACGACCAGCAACUGCAAACUCUUAUGCCUCAGUUUAACGAAUUUGGAUUUGUAGAUCAUGAAAAUGGAGCAAAUUAAGCUGUUGGAGGAGGCAACAACAUACAAACACCUAGUCCAAGAUAUCAAUGAGUUCAGUUCUCACAUCCAGUCUAGGGGUGAGUCUUUGUCUUCCUGUCAUUUGGAUAUGCAACUAGCACUUUUAAAGAUUUAGUAAUAUUGUGUGUCUGUGAUUUUGAUCCGUUAAAAUUUGUUUUCAACAGUGAAGCAGGACGCAGAAUUGCAUGAAAAUCUCAAAGUCAAAUUUGUUGCAGGAGAAAAAGAGAGGAAAGAACUAUAUAACAAGAUACUAGAACUAAAAGGUUUGUGUCUAUAUCCAAUAUAACUUGUAGAUUGACAUCCUUGACUAAAAUUAGCAGCCUAACAACUUACAGUGAUCAUUUUUUCGUACAGGUAACAUCAGGGUCUUUUGCAGGUGUCGACCUCUAAACUUUGAAGAAAUUGAAGCAGGAGUAUCAAUGGGAAUUGAUGUUGAGUCAACCAAAAAUGGGGAGGUCAUAGUCAUGUCAAAUGGUUUUCCCAAAAAAAGUUUCAAGUUUGAUUCUGUUUUUGGUCCUAAUGCUUCCCAAGGUGAUUGAUGGCAUCAAUGAUCACCCUUUGUCCCUGUCCUACUUGCCUUCUAGGAAAUCUCAAGUUGUUUCCUAUACUUUUACAGCUGAUGUUUUUGAAGAUACUGCUCCCUUUGCUAUGUCAGUCAUUGAUGGAUACAACGUUUGCAUCUUCGCCUAUGGCCAGACUGGUACUGGGAAAACUUUUACCAUGGAGGGAACUCAACAUGACCGUGGUGUAAACUAUAGAACACUGGAAAAUCUGUUUCGAAUAAUUAAAGAACGAGAACACCGCUACAAUUAUGAGAUCUCGGUCAGUGUCCUGGAAGUUUACAACGAACAGAUAAGAGAUUUGUUGGUUCCAGCUUCACAAAGUGCAUCUGCACCCAAAAGGUACUACAUAAGUUUUGUAUACCUUUCUCCUUGAUGUGCUCUUUCAUGGAGUUAAGCAUGCAAGGUCCAUUGUUCUUUAGUCUCAUUGUUUAUAGCUUGGUGUUUCAGUAAGGACUGUAAUAAGUAACUACUUGUUAUAGGAAAAUUGGUUUCUGAUAUCACUAACAGUAGCUCAUACUCGUUUCUUUGCAGAUUUGAGAUAAGGCAAGUGAGUGAAGGAAACCACCACGUACCAGGAUUGGUUGAAGCACCUGUGAAAAGCAUAGAAGAGGUUUGGGAUGUGUUGAAAACAGGAAGUAAUGCAAGGGCUGUUGGGAAAACGACGGCUAAUGAGCACAGCAGCAGAUCUCACUGGUCUGCUUAACGAUCUGUAGUAGUCUCCUUUUGCAGAAAAUGAACAGCUAACUGAAUGUAUUUUCUCUUCUUUUCUUUGCACAGCAUUCACUGCGUGAUGGUCAAAGGUGAGAAUUUGUUGAAUGGAGAAUGCACAAAGAGCAAACUAUGGUUAGUUGACUUAGCUGGAAGCGAACGGGUUGCAAAGACAGAAGUUCAAGGAGAACGGCUCAAGGAGACUCAAAACAUCAACAAAUCAUUAUCUGCUCUUGGUGAUGUCAUAUUCGCUCUUGCCAACAAAAGCUCUCACAUUCCUUUCAGGUCGAUAUGAUACAUCUAUUUUCAUUUAAAGAAGGUUACAGUCACCAUUUUUCAUCUAACUUGAUGUUUGGCUUGCAUUACUGAUAAGAUCAAAUACCUUUGCAGAAAUUCAAAACUGACGCACUUGCUUCAGGAUUCUCUGGGUACUUAAUUUUCUUCUCGAAGCUGCAACCACGUUCACUUGUAAAUUCUGUUUAUCUGUUAUGGAGCUUAAGAUUAAAAAUGACUGGUAUAUGACAGGAGGAGAUUCAAAGACCCUCAUGUUUGUACAAAUCAGUCCUAACGAGAAUGAUCAAAGCGAAACACUAUGCUCACUGAAUUUUGCUAGCAGAGUGAGAGGGAUAGAGUUGGGGCCUGCAAAGAAGCAGCUAGACAAUACUGAACUCUUGAAAUACAAGCAAAUGGUAAGCUAAAUGUCCACAUGUGUUUAUCGAAUCAUUCAUGUAUUGUUCUGAGCUGUAUUAAUUCUAUAUCAGGUUGAGAAAUGGAAGCAAGAUAUGAAAGGAAAAGACGAACAAAUUAGAAAAAUGGAGGAAAUGAUGUACGGCUUAGAAGCAAAGAUUAAGGAACGAGACACUAAGAACAAAACCCUUCAAGACAAGGUAAACAAAUACUCACCACAACCACAAGAACAACAUGGAUUAUAACAUUUUAGCUUGUUGAAACCAUCACAUAUCACUUUCUUUGUUAGGUUAAAGAACUUGAAUCGCAACUAUUGGUAGAGAGGAAGCUGGCUCGUCAACAUGUAGACACCAAGAUUGCUGAACAGCAGACAAAACAGCAGGCCGGAGAUGAAAACAACCCGUCAAAGAGGCUGCCACUGACAAGCAUACUGUUGGGAUCAGGUUCGAAAGAAAUGGUAAAUCUAACACGCCCACCACUCUUGGAGAGCACCCCCAGCAUUAAUCUAGCUCCUUUACCUAGUGGUGGCCUCAAGUAUAAUGACCUCUCUGAGAAGGAGAACAAUCCAGAAAUGGCUGAUCAAGUGCAAAUACCUAAUAGAACAGGAAGAUUCUCUAUCUGUGCAAAACGUAUUCCAUCAGCUCCAGCUCCAAGAAGGAGUUCUCUUGCCCCAACCACAUCAACUUCGAGAGAAAUGGUGAAUCUAACCCGACCACCACUUGUAGAGAGCACCACCAGCUAUGAUCUACCUCCUUUACCCAAUGGUGGUGGUCUCAAGUACAAUGACCUCAUUGAGAAGGUGAACAAUCCAGAAAUGGCUGAGCAAGUGCAAAUACCUAAGAGAACUGGAAGAUCUUCUAUCUGCGCAAAACGCAUUCCACCAGCUCCAAGAAGGAAGACUCUUGCCCCAAUGCCAUUCAUCCCAAUCACAUCACCAUCAAAUUCUUCAUCUUCAUUAAUGCCACCAUGCCAAGCAAUUACAAACUCGCCUGAUGAAAAGAGUGGCGCUAACCAAGUGCUCUGCACCAGCCCCAAGCUACACAGAAGUAAUGGGAAGACGUUGACCAGCAUACUGAGACGAAGCAUACAAAAGAGAAUGCAAAAGAAAUCUUCCCCGAGGCAGCAACCGAUGAGAAGAGGUGGUGGCAUUAAUGUCGGGAUGGAGAGAGUUAGACUGUCUAUAGGAAACAGAGGAAAGUUAGCUCAUAGAGUUCUGCUAACCAAUGCUCGUAAGGCAGGUCUGAAGGAGACACCGCAGAAACAAGAGCGAUGGAUCUGAACCGAUUAAAACUGAUGUUUUCUCUGACUUAACUUCUCAAUAUUCAUUAUGAUUUCUUGGAGGACGAUUGAUAUUUUAUCAUCCUCUGGUUUCGAGUGCGUUUGUGGAUUUGGUUUGACCCUAUUGUAUAGAUGGUUUUGGCUUUUGUGCACUCCUUCUGUUUCUUUUGUUUUCAUUAAAAAAAGUUCCAAGAACCAUUUAUUAACCCCAUUCACCCAUUCCUCCUGUGAAUCAUCAACAAUUUCCUACAACAAACUUCAUUUGAAUUUUUUUCAGGUAUUCAAACUUCAUCUGACCAGGUAUUGAAGUGAAUGUCCCUGCUAAACCUUUUUCUGGGUAUUGAUUUUGCUUUCCUCUUUUUUGUCAUGUACAUUAAUCAAAAUCCUUACUUUUGUUUAGACAGCGAUGAUUGAUUUUAGGGUCCAAGAAACCAGUAACCAUCAACAUUACAUUAUCUAGUUCACCUUCUAAGCCGUAAACUGCAUAUCAAAACAGAUGUGCACAAAAGAAAAAAAAUACAGCAGAAUCCCACAAUUUACAACAUGAGGCUAAAACAAACAAGGCUUUCAAUUUCAUCUUAGUGAACUCACUCGGCUAAGGUUCUCCGCGAUAGCAUCUCUGAUCCUCCUCGACUCUAUAUAUGCUUCUCCUUCGAAUCUCCGAGUCUUCUCAUCACCAUCAUCUUUCCUCGUCUCACCAUUAUCACCAGCAGCACAACCAUUCACACAUUCCUCCAGUGAAUCAUCAUCAUCUCCAGAAUCCACAAGAAAAUUAUGCAACAAGCAACCCGUAGUUAGAACAAACGGCAUAAACUCGAUUGUCUCUGGUUUCCAUUUCUUAUCAAGAAUCCGCCACCGAGCUCGAACCUUAGCAAAGGCAAUCUCAACACUAAGCAAUCCAGUGUGAACCACAUUGUUAAAUUCUUCUCUAAAAGUCUCCUCUUCCUCCUCGUUUGAAGUCAAAUCAUAAGGUGUCACAAGCCAUGGCAAUAAAGGAAGACAAGAAUCUCCCAAAAUGUAACGAGGAACCAAUACUCCAUUCCCAAGUUUGGUCGGAGCUUCAUUGAGAACUUCCUCUGCAAUUGAGAAAAGCUUCGUCUGUCUGAAAAUAGCUUCUGGUUUCAUCGUACUUGGCCAACCAGCUGAGAUAUCAACAAAUCUGCCAUCGGAAUCAACCAAUGCUUGAACCAAAAUUGACCCUUUUGCACCAAGAAGCUUUCCGUUAACCUCAAACCUCCCGAAUCCGACAACACCGCAGCAAUUCGGGAGCAGAUUAGGCGAAAAAUCGGGGUUUGGAGCAUCAAGUUGUUGACUUAAUUUCUCAUUGAUGAGUUUGCAGACAGUGAAGAAAGAGUGUGAAGCUUGGGAAGUGGAAUCAAACCCGAAUCUGUGAACGAGACACUCGUAAGAAGCACCGUGAGCGAGACGGAAGAUUGCGGCAGCGAAGGAAGGAAGCGAGGAAGGGGAGAGGAUAGAGAAGAGAUUGAAGAAGGUGGAUUUCGACAUCCGGAAACAAAGACACCAGCGAGGAUCAUCGUCGUCUUCUGUAGCGGAGGUUAAGAAGCGGUUGAACCACGUGGCGGUGGUGACGGCGGAGGAAGGAGAGGGGGAAGGUGGGAUUGGGAGAGAUGAGAUUAGGGAUUCAAGGCGGAGAGAUUGUGAUGGUGAGAGGAAGAGAUCGUUGGCUUGGAGAAAGGAGUGAGUGAGGGCAGCGGCGGAAGAGAGACGGCGCAGUAAUGGGUCUUUAAGACCAAGUUUGUCGGAUACAUUUGUUGGGUUUCUGUCGGAUUUUCGUUUUCCGUCGACCAUAUCUUUCUCCGAGUAGUGAGAUUGGGAGGAUCAAUAAGUUUGGAAAGCCAGCAGCAAUUUUAACUUCAGUGCUUAAGAAGAAGUAAUAAAAAUAAAAAUAAACUCCACUAUUUUAUAAAACCAAACCGUAUAAUUUUAUUUAAUUAUAAAAUCUAAACUCUAAGUACUCUUUUAUAAACUCAAACCGACAUAUAAUUUUAUUUAAUUGUAAAAUCCAAACCCUAAACCUCAUCUAUAAACCCAAAUCGACAUAGAAUUUUGUUUAAUUGUAAAAUCUAAACCCUAAUCACUCUUUUAUAAACCCAAACCGACAUAUAAUUAAUUUCGUUUAAUUGUACAAUCUAAAUCCUAAUCCACAUUUGUAAACCCAAACCAACAUAUAAUUGUAUCCUCUUAUUAUUAAAAGGGAAGUACAAAUUGAAAAAUAGUCUAAAUUGUCAUCAAUUUCAAUUUCAAUUUUGGGAUUAACAAAGGCUUAAUCAAAAUCGACAAAAGUAAAUUAGUCUAAAAUUUUCAUUAAAACUUUAGGAUCCGCGUGUUUAUAAAAUGGGUUUAGAGUGAAUCAAAUGUACCCAAAUCCUUAAACAAAUCAAUAAUCGGGUUUUAACAUCUUCACAAAACAGAGAUGCAAUACUAACUAACCAUUCAACAUAUUUGGUAUAUAAUUUAAGGCAUAUUCAAUCGCAAUUAUGAAAUAUAUUUUCUAAAUCUCGACUAAUUGCUAAACAAAUUUCAAAAAAAAAUAUGAUCUAAUCUAAUCCUAACCAUAAACUACUAUUCAAUAUCCUAAUUUCCCCUAAAUUCGUGAAUCAUUAAUAAUGUUAACAAUCAAGAAGAUAUUCAAGUUAAUAUAUAUAUCCUAUAGUUUUGGCUUUGGCUUCAAGAUUUUCAAAAAUUUAUGAGCCAAAAACCUUAUCAUUCCUUUUUACUAUAAAUAUCAAACGUCUCUAUCAAUUCUUACUCAUCCAGCAACAAACGAUUAAUACCUCUUUUUUUCCAAGCCACAAACCACCGCGGGUUAAAUCCUCUCUGCAACAAAUCAGGAUCGUCACCCUGCAAAGUUCACAUCUGAUCAGCAUCUCAAAUCAGCAUUCAACAACAUGUAACACUUUCAAAUGAUUCAUGAGGGCUUUCUUGAUACUAAUAAGACAUUUAGGGUUAUUUUCAUAAUAUUGUAAUAGUUUGAAGGUUGCUUUGGAAAGUCACCUGAGAGACAUGGAGGAUGAGAGCGUGCGUAGUGAGACGCGAUGGCGUGUGGAUCCCAAACGAGCUUGCCACAACCAACGACAAGCGAAUCUCGGGAGACGUAAGCCAAUCUAAAUUGAAGCUACAUGUGACCACCGCCGCGAAUGCACCGUCCAUGUGAAGACACGUCCGCGAAUGCACCGUCCAUGUGAAGACACUUUUCUUUUCUCUUAUUUAUUUUGUGAAUUGUAUGAUGAACAAAUUUUUGAUAUUUAUAUUUCGACACCAUGUUUUACCUUGGAAUUUAGUUCAUAUAAUAUAGCAGAAGCUUGAAAUUUUCUUUAACAAGAAUUCAUAUUGUUAGUUUUUAAGUCUUAAAACUGUUGCUAAGUUAUAUCUGUCGUCACGAUCUGAGCUUAUUAUAAAGACCAUUCCGUUCAAAGCAAAAAAAAAAAUAUGUAGCAAGUGUGGAAUAAUACAUAAUAGUUUGAUCAUUUUUUAAUAAAUCUUAAAUAUCAUCUCUUAUAUUAUAUGUAGGAUGUACUUUGACAGUUUUUUUAAAGCCCGACAAAAAUUGUAGGUUUUAAAUCAUUUUGGAUAUGUUUUACAAAUUCUGUACAAAGGCUAACUAAUUGGAUUUGUCUUUCUUACUCCUUUUUCUUUUCUUUCCUAGAACAUGUGAGAACUAGAAAAGGAUAAACUCCUCAUUUUGUAGUAGAUGAUUAGCAUAUAGAUAGUGAGGCGAUUCUCUGAUUAGUUUGUUAUGAAGGCUCGUCGUGUGAACUUACAUCCUCAAUAGUUUUUUUUUUCUGAGGUUCGAGUACUUCCUGGGAGGUGUUUGUGGAUCAUUCCAGGGGAUGGAAACAUGAUUCACAUCACCCGAAUCUCGAUAGAUCCCAAAAGAAAAGGAGAUGAUGGUCUGACAAGUUUAUCUAGUAAAAGUCCACGAAGAGAGCGAGACCGUGAUCACCACUCUCUCCCAUGACACCAUGUCUAUGGACGCCGACAUAUACCGCUACAGAAGCCAUUCAUUGCAGUUAACGAUUGAUAACGGCAUGUCUAUUUUGGUCUGGUCAACAAAUUCCUAUGUCUCAAACGUUAGUCAACGUUUAAUUCAUGUUUUAAAUGCUCACAUAUGAAGUUGAUGUUUAAAAUGGCCAUAAUUUAAAAGUUUUUUUUUUUUUUUUUUAUAAUUGAUAGCCCAUCAGGCCUAAUUGGCUAAACAGCCCAAACACACAAUAAAUAGAACCAAGAUUGAAUCAAAGAAGCCCAAGUUAAUUAGCCCAUGAAGAAAAUGAAGUACCCAAAUUGAUCAAUCGGAAAUCACGAGGAGUAAGAGAGGAGACGAAGCGAUGAAACAGAGAAUGAUGAGAGAUGAUCUGAGAUUUUUAGGAGAGCCAAAUUUGAAGCAUCUGAGAAGCUUGGCGAGGGUUUGUGAGGCAGAUACUAGCUAUUCUGUUCCGGAUUAUUAGAUCUGCAUCUCGAAUCAAAGUAUCAAUUGAUUUGAAAGCGUUCCGAUGGAGACGAUUGUUACGCUCCGACCAAAUGCAAUAAAUCGAAGCUUGCCAUGCAAUUAGCAGAAGUUUUCGUCUUGGCUUUGAGACAGAGUAUGAGCUUAGCUGGGUGAGAAGUGUAUCCCAACUUCGAGAGGAUAGGUAGUUGCACUUGCUGGAGAGAAAAUCCCAAAUUGCACCUGAGAAGCUACAAUCGAAGAACAAAUGAGAGCGAGAUUCUGGACUAGCACUACAGAGAAGGCACGACGGAUCAGAGAAAGCGUUUCGAGAGGAUAGGUAGUGCCUCUUAACAAUCGUCUACAUCGGAAGACCAGUUGCUUGACCAGAAGUAGUGCCUUCUUGUGAAAGGUAAUCUCUGUAGUGCCUUCUUGUGAAAGGUAAUCUCUGAUUUUUCCAAGUGGAGACCAGUUGCUUGACCAGAAGUAGCAGUUCUCCCCCUUACCUACAGACUGUUUGAUCCAUGGGUAAGCUAAGUCUCGUAAUUGUAACAACUGGUUAGCUAGCCAAGAGAAUUUCUGUUUUGUAUUAAUAACCCAGAAGUUAUUAAUGUUUCCAUCUAACACCUCUGUAGUAUACCAGUGAGCCCAAACAGAACCAGGUAGUGCCUUCUUGUGAAAGGUAAUCUCUGAUUUUUCCAAGUGGAGACCAGUUGCUUGACCAGAAGUAGCAGUUCUCCCCCUUACCUACAGACUGUUUGAUCCAUGGGUAAGCUAAGUCUCGUAAUUGUAACAACUGGUUAGCUAGCCAAGAGAAUUUCUGUUUUGUAUUAAUAACCCAGAAGUUAUUAAUGUUUCCAUCUAACACCUCUGUAGUAUACCAGUGAGCCCAAACAGAACCAGGCCUGAAGAACAACAACCAAAUCAGCUUUAGUGCAGAAGUAGUAUUCCAGCUGGAAAUGUCCUUCAACCCAAGACCCCCUUCUUCCUUGCUACGACACACAUUCUCCCAAGAAACUUUAGCAGAGGUAAGCCCUUCAGUUUUACCCUUCCAAAGGAAUUUAGCAGAGAUGGAGUUAAUUUCCGAAAUGCAUCCUUUAGGGAGAAUGAAAGCAUUUGACUAGAAGUUAAUAAUCCCAGCAAUGACUGUUGAAAGCAGUUGCAACCUUCCUGCAAAAGAUAAAGACCUGACUGUCCAAGAGUGAAGUUUGGAUUUUAUAGACUGAAUAAGAGAAACACACUGCAGCAAGGAGAUUUUCUUCGUGCAGAGGGGAACGCCAAGGUAUCUGAUCGGGAGUGAACCAAUUGAGAGAUUCAUUGCUUGUUUGAUUAGCUCUAACUCAUGGGGCUUUAAACCUGCAGAGAACAGAGACGUCUUUUCGAUGUUAACAGCAAGUCCAGAUCUGUUUUCAAAAUCCUUCAACACUUCCAAGAUAUUUGUUAUGGAGUUAAGGGAGCCAUCGGAGAAGAUUAGCAGAUCAUCGGCAAAACAGAGGUGCGUAAGCCUUGUCUUUUUGCAUUUAGGGUGGUAGUUGAAUCUUCCUUCCACAGCAGCUCUAUUAAGAGCUAGUGACAAACAAUUCAUGGAGAGGACAAAAAGAUAAGGAGAAAGAGGGUCACCUUGCCUGAGCCCUCUUUUUUUUUUGAAAUAACCAUGAGUAGUGCCAUUAAACGAGACAGAGAAAGAUGUUGUACAGAUGCAAGCUUCUAGCCAUCUUAAAAAAGUUUCAGGAAUAUGGAGACUCCGUAGGCAUUGGAAUAUGAAUUCCCACCUAAUAGUAUCAAAAGCUUUAGCAAUAUCAACCUUUAAAGUUAUUCUCUUUGGUCCUCCAUUCUUAUGAUAGCCUUGUACAAUUUCUGAGGCCAAUAGGGUAUUCUCAAUAAGUAGUCUGCCUUGAACAAAAGCUGUUUGGUUAGGGAGGAUAACGACGGGGAGAAUGACCUUUAAUCUUUUCACAAGCAGCUUUGAAAUUGAUUUAUAGGUAGUAUUGCAGCAGGAAAUUGGCCUAUAAUCAGAAAUAGAAGUAGCUUCUGGUUUUUUAGGGACUAACGUCAGAAUUGUUGCAUUUGUGGCAGUUGGGAGGAACCCUGAAGAGAAGAAUCUUUGAAUGGCUGAAAGCACCUCAUGACCAACUAUUGGCCAAGCAGCUUUGAAGAACGAAGAAGUAAACCCAUCAGGCCCAGGAGACUUGUUGGGGUUCAGCUUGAGUAGAGUCCUUGUGAUUUCAGCAGUUGUAGGAAAGGAGGAUAAGACUGAUUUAUGGUGCUCACAACAGUUAAAGCUUUGAAGCUCCAAAAACCAGGAGAAAGGAGAACUGAUAUGCAUCAAAUAUUGAGGGGCAAGAAACUGCUGGAAAUGAGAGACCGCAAUAUCACUCAUUUCCUCCGGGUCAGAAGUAGAUGAACCAUUAUCCAAGCAUAAAGAUCUGAUGGAGUUGUAGGAUGCUCUAGCCAUGGCAACUCUGUAGAAGAAAGUAGUGUUCUGGUCCCCUAGGUGUAACCAAUUGAUUCUGGACUUCUGUUUGAAAAAAGACUCCUCAAUUCCUCUGAGGAAUAACCAUUUAGAAUGGAGGUCCCUUUCAGCUUGGAAAAUGUCUGAGGAUGGAUUAUCUAUAGCUUGAACCUGCAUAACUUUUAACAAACUGUUAGUAACACUCACUCUCCUCUGAAUAUCUGAAAAGCUCUCUUUGUUUAGUGAUUUUAGUACUCUUUUAGAAUUUUCAAUUUGAACCCCAACAGUUGGGGGAUUAAAUGAUAUUUUUCCCGAUCAAUUUUAGCUUCAGUGCUUAAGAAGAAGUAAAAAAAAAUAUGUUUUUGUCAUCUCUGCUGGAAUCUUCUUAGGAUCGGUUCAAGUCGGAAUUUUGGGUUGUUCCGGUUUGGAAGAUUUUAACGAUUAAAAUUUAAAACCGAACAAAACCUUGAUUUUUUAAGUUUUUCGGUACAUUUCGAGUAAUAGUAAGGCUACAAACAGAGUUAACCAAACCUCGGUUCAGUCCGGUUCUGAUUUCAUGCCAUGCCCAAGUUUUACUAUUGAAAGGCUGGUUUCAAAUGCCCAACAAUUUGGAGAGAAGAAACAAGAGUAUUGAAGUUUUAAUGUGCAAGACAACCAAAAGCUUUGUUUCAUGAAUAUAUCAAUGAAUGUAAGAGUUUGAAUUAACCUUUGGUCACGCUUUUGUAUCAGUAUGGAUUAGUUACCUCAAGAAUCUAUAUUUCUUUAUCUGUUUUACAAAAAAAUCUUUUGUAUGAGUUCUCUAUAAUGAUUUUUUUUCCUUCAGUCGUUACAACAAUGACUUAUCCAUCCUAGGCUUUUAUAGAUUGACCAUGAAUGCCUAAUAGCUGGACAGUUCGUUGUGUAACUCACCAGAAGGAGACAGCUAAAUCCCAUAUUCUUCUUAAUCUUCCGGGUUUAGCUGAUACUUUAGCUAUCUGAUCCUCCAUUAGCCGCUCUACGUCAGGUCCCAUAUCGUGGACCAUUUUAACCGACUCAGAGAGACGGUUGAGUAAAUUCACCAGCGCAAUCACCUCAUUCCGUUGCAGUUGCAGCUGAAAAACAUAAGAAUAAUCUCAGGUCAGUGACAUCUCAAUACAAAACGAUGCAUAUAGAUGUUUGAGAAACUCACUGUUUGGUCACCAAUGUCUUGAUUUCCAACAGAGAAGAGAAUUUUCAAUGCUGUCCCAAGACCCUGAACCUGAAGUUUCCCCCAAAGCCGGCAUUUUUCACAACCUACGCAAUCCAUUAGUGCACUGCAACACAUACAUUACUAAGUUGUAUUACUAUUACCACUCUCUCAGCAUUUGCCAGAAGAACAUAUUCAUUUUCACGAAAAAUCGAGACGAACCUUAUAUUUCUGAAUUGUUUCUGGAUUUGCUGUUUCAAUUCUGGUCCACUUUGACCUUGCCACAACUUAGCUUCAUCAAACGGAACAGGACAUGCUGUUUGAAGUUUUGGACUAUACAAUAACUGUUUGAUCAAGGACUGUGUUUUCAGAUCUUCAGCAUGGUUUCCUGUGUCAUACUCUGCCUGCUCCAAGUAUGCUGUUGCCUAAAUAACACAUUGUAAGAGUCAGUCCUAAAGACUGAUAGAUUGAUUAGACAUGUCAAAAUUUUCCCAAAAGACUAACUUGCAGAGAAGUUACUCACUUUAGUUACAGCACGUAGCACAAAGAGAUACGUGAAGUACAUAUUUCUGACACGAUCCGGAUGUCUCAGGAUUCUAUCAUACAUCAGCUCGAUAUUCUGUCCCCACUGUAUUUCAAAAGAAAUUACAUGUCAGCCAUGACCAUUAUUUAUUCAUGCAUUCAUGCUGAGAGAUUUGUCUAUCUUUUGCUCAGAUUUACAAACCUGGUUGCUUGACUCAUCAAGAAGAUAAUCAGAAGCUAUGUGCAUCGAGAUUGAAGAAUGAAGACCGGAUAUCAAUUUGUACAAUACCUUUUUCUCCGGACAUGUCUCCCCAGAUGAAUCUACAGAAACCAUUUGCAUUUCAACAUACAACAUAAUACAAGCCUAUGUCCACAAUAUGGUAGAGAAGGAAAAACUCACAUUUUGGACAGUUUUCCGAAUAUAUGGAGUCCCAAAUCCUUCUAGCCGACGGUCCAGUAUAACCAGUAUAUCGUUCGGGGUUUAACUGAAGAUUGACAUAAGUCAUCUCACCUGUAGAUAAGUGUCACUUCAAAUAAUUAAAUGCUCAUUCACUAUAGCAUAUAUCCAAAGAAGAACUCCCUAGAGCAGUUUUUGGUAACUACAUACCGCUAUCUGUGUCAUCAUCAUGCGUCCAUGGAUUCUUGGUUUCGACCCAACCUCUGAAUGCUCUGUUAUCUAUAGUACGGUCAACAGCUCCCUGAGGUUUUCCCUCUUGACACAUGAGAUCAUCAGAAGGAAGACCUGGGACAAAUGGCUUUUUAAAUGGUUCAGGAAACUCAUUCUCUGGACAUUCACAGACGCUGCAAUCACGCAAACGACACAUUCCAUCGUCUGGCCAGAAUGGGCAGUCACACCACAGUUUCACCUACCCCCAUAUACAAAAACACAUCCAGCCAAAAGUCACUAACUUACUACACGACUGAACACAAUUUCAUAGUUUUUCUACAUAAUUGGAUUCUAAAGCAUCUCACUGACCUUAUAGUACCGGAAAAAUGGGGUUGUGACGAGAUCUUGAAGCAAAGGAUUCAAAACCUCACUGUUGAGAUUGUCCACUGUUUCAUAAUCACAGCAACAGUCCUCAACCAUACCUUUGUAUUUACCUGUUCCCUGUAUAUCCAAAUGGAAAAUCAAAAAGACAAAAAUCAAAUAUGAUAAGUCCACUGAACCACUGGCACAUUUCAGGGACAACGAUUCAAAGCUUUGGCUCAACAGAGCCAUCAAAAGUUGUCAUUUUUUACCACCCUGAAUCCAUUAGCUAAACAAUGUGAUCAAAAGAUUCAAUUUUUAUUACCAUUGGCUACAUAAAUACUGUGAUCAAAAGUAUCAAUUUUUAUUAUCCUGAAUCCAUCACAUGACAAAUAUCCACCAAUACCCAACAAACUUCAUCCAGAAAUACAAACAAAAGACAAAAAUGUACUUGAGAGUCUUAAAGUCAAAUUCUUUCAUCUAUGAUCAAAGCAACAGAUUGAGAAUUUAAGAGAGUAAAAUCCAAAAACCUGAAGUAAACAGCUACAAGAAUUUCGAUCGCUGAAGAAGAAACCGACAUUAGAAUUCGUCCUAGAGCUCACAGCAACUGCCAAAAACACAACAACCAAAGUCGCUAAAGGCCAUCGCCAUGUUUUUCUCUUUUUUUCGCUCUCUUCUUCUUUGAUUCCGCCUCUUCCCAUUAUAGAAAACCCAAAAACAAUAAAAAUCAAAUGAGACAAAUAAAUCCUUUUACAAAAAAGAGAAAGAAAAACACGUUUUUUGUGUCUUCCGGAAAUUCUCAAAACCCCAUUGUUGUGUUUUGUGUCUGAAGAUCGUCUUAAGCAAGCAAUGAAUGUUAUGUAAUGCGUUAGUUUCAAUGCGGUAUUUUUGACAUUUCAGCGCGACGUGGGUUUUGAAUACCACGCGCUUUUUCUAGUCGGCGCGUGUUGGAACCAUUUGUUUUCGUCUCGUGACGUGCUUUAACCAAUAGGAUCCAUUUGUUCUCGUAGUAAUGAACAUGUUGCCUUUUCAACGCUUCCCAGUCAACGACCAUUCGUUUGACUAAACGCCUCUCUACUCUACGGUGUCGUUUAUUGAUCUAAUUAUAUUUAUUUUAAUUGGGCCUGUGGGCUAGACUAUAACUCCGUCUGCUACGGGCCGGGUUAGGCUUAUGGAGUCGGGUAGGGGACAAUUAGCUUUUAAUUUAUUUUAGGGUUAAGUGUAGCCCAAAAUUUCGAUUUGUGCCCUUAGAGCAUCUCCAAAGGGAGAUUCUCUCAAAAAAUUUGAUGAGUUCUCUUGUCUAAUUGGCAAAAAAAUAAAUCAAAACUGAUAUUAAAGCAGAGAGUCGACUCUCUGAAGAGAGGUUUGAGCAAUUGAGAGAACCGUACACGUGGCAUACUCUAAUUGGACCAUCUUUUUUAACAAAAAAAAAAAAAAAAUUCCGUGUUUUCCAUCGGCAAAAAAAAAAAACCCGAGUGUCUCUCUCCCGCGAAGGCGAUCGAUUGACGCUGGAUUAAUGGUUUUCGAUGAGUCGACGCCGUCUCCCCAAAAUUUCUCACUUCCCCUCAUUUCGCUUCGAAGUCAAAAGCCCUAAUUCGAAAAUCCCCUAUUCUUAAGGUACGGAUCCGAUCUCUCUUGCUCAUACUUCGACAAUGUUUUUUUUUGCUCUUUUGAUCGUCGAUUUUUUUUCUUCUCGUUUUCUGCGUUUAUUUGUUGAUAUGUUGUUGAUCUUCGCGUUUGGGUCGUCACUUCAUAAUCUGUAGAAUUCAGAGUUCGUUUUGGAAGAUCUAGCAGUGUAAAUCGUCUGUAAUAGUCUCUUUUUUGGGUGCUUGGAUUGAUUUGUUAGAGAUGAUUGUUGUUGUUUCUCUUAAAUGCAAGAUUGUUGCAGCGUUAUUGAGUUUUAGUUCGUGUUCUUAUGUGUAUUGAUCACUGGUUUUGUGAAAUCUAGAUUCAAAUUUGAUAAAGUCUAUUUGUUGGCUUUGUCUUGUUUUUGAUCACUGGUUUCGCUUGGUUUCAAUUUAACAUGACUGAUUUUGAUGUCUUUUUUUUUCCAGAAAAUUAACAUGAUUGGUUUCAAUUUCAUUCUUUCUAUGGUCACUGAGCUUUUGAUGAUUUGGGGUUUGUAAAGCAUGGUUUUCGCCAAAUGAUUGAUUGUUCAUAAUCAAUGCUAUAACUGAUUAUUAGAUGCUUCUACUCAUUAAUUGCUUCAUCUAAAUGUUGUCGUAGCAAGAUCUUUGUUCUUGAAAUUUUUCUUGAAGCUAGAAUUUGGUUUCAUGAUUGUCUUGCAUUGCAUUUCUUGUCUGACUAGAUUAAUAGAAUAUAAUUGUCUCUAAUCAAUGUUUGUGCUUCUGUUCUGUGUUUGUGUUGCAUACUUCUUAAGUUUUUUUGAUCAUUGUUCCCUAAGUUCUGUAAUUGACAUGAUUAUAACUCUUUGGUCAAUAGGAUGAAGCAGGAGAUGAGAUCAAGGAGGCAGAACCAAAGGUCUUGUGCAAGUGUCAUUCUUGUUUCACUGUCUUGUCCAAACCAAAGCAUAGUUAAUUCACAUUCUUGUACUCUUUGAUUAAUAAACGAGUAAAAGAAAACAUGUGCAACCAAGAGUUGUUUCUUUUUGUGAAUAUGUAUUGUAAAACCAUGUAUUGUUUUUACCAAAAAAAAAACCAUGUAUUGUUUUACAAAAUUUGAAUUUUUUCUUAGAGAACCCCAUUAGUAGUUUUAACCAUUGGAGGUCACAAAACUUAAGAGUUCCUAUGCAAGUUUUAAGUUUGAAAAAGCUAAAAUUUAUUCUUAUAAAAUGCAGAGAACCCAUGAUGGAGUUGUAACCAUUGGAGAUGCUCUUAGCUCACCCGAGCGGUUAAUGGGGACGGACUGUAAAUUCGCCCAAUUAUUUAUCCCGAAAUUUUCUACAAUAAGUCACCGUCGUUGGUGGCAGUUGAAUCCCUAACUUUUUGAGCACGUAAGAGAAAGUUUCUAAUCCUAUGUCUAUGUCUUAUAUAAAAGUAUAAUAUUUUGAAUCUUUGAUGACAUUGGUGUCCCCGUGUCAUAAACGAUUUUGAAAGAGAGGAGAGAAAACUGAUUUUCAAGAUUGAUUACUUGGAUACUUGGAUCGUUUUACACUUUCACACACACACACACAUACUUAAAGUAGUUUCUUCUACUAACUACGCACGGACACACACUUAUCCCUUAAGCUUAGCGACUACACUACUAGACCUUACCUCUAGAUACUAAACUAAUUUUGCAAGCAAAGUUAAACCAUUAUUGUACAACUCAACAACUCUACUUAGUAAUAAGCAAUAAAACACACUAACGCAUUGGGCCUCAACCAACUUAAUGGCCCAAUAUGCUUCCUUAAGUCUCUCUUCACACUGAUUAUUUCUUUCUGGUGCAGGAUUAAUCAAAGUUUCCAACUUCAACAAAUUCACUGAGACAAGUUUUACUCAGCAGGCCAUUUCUUCCUCUUCUUGACUCUGGUCGAUCGUCUUACGGUUAAUUAUUAUUACAGUGAUCUUGAAUUGUGGUCACUUAUUUGUUUUCUUGUAAAACUUGGUCGAAAUUAUUUGCUUUUAUAUUUGGUUAUUAUUUAGAAAAACAAAGUUUUUGUUUAACUUAAUAGAAAAACAAAUUGUGGUCAGAAACAGAGAUGUUGAGAGUCAUUUCGAACGUUGUUCACUCGUGACUCACCCUUAUCUCUCUGCUUGUGAAACCUUGUGUUCCUCCCAUCUAUUGAUUGUCGUUUUUAUCUGCUUUGUGUUAGUUAACAUGGACCCAUUGUGCAUGUUCCUCGUUUUUAUCGAUUACCUCAAAGUCUAAUCCCCUAGUUUCAACCCUCACCGUAGUAGAAAGUUAGUUAACCAAGGACUAGAUUGUGACGUGAGGAAAAAGCCAAUAAACAUUUAUAGCUGAUAAAUUUAGGGUUUUGCUUAACAAAAAAGGGAGUUAGGUUUUUCUCUUUUUACUGUCAUGCUCGGUUUUAACUACUGCUGAGGAUUUCUAUAAAUACCGAUCCAAAAUGUGUUAGCUCUCCACAACUCAACUCACUCAAACACUAAAACACACACAAAACAAUCACUAUGAAGAAACCUUCAGUGAUCUCUUUUCUCAUCACUCUCCUGUUGGCUGCAGCUGUCUGCAUCCACGGAGGCGAACCGGUGAACGACAAGGACGGCAAUCCAGUUAAACUCGGUGAGCUAUACUUCAUCCAGCCGGUGAAGACCAAGACUAACAACGGCGGUGGUCUUGUCCCAGCCACCACUAGUAUACUUCCACCCUAUUGUCCACUUGGUAUCACCCAAACACUCCUUCCGUACCAACCGGGGUUACCGGUUAACUUCACAUUACCAGACGCUCGAGAGGAAACCUUCGUCCAGACAUCUUUAGCAGUAAACAUCGAGUUCAAUUCCAACAUCUGGGCCUGCAAUGAGUUUUCCAAGUUUUGGAAAGUCAAUGAAACCUCAUCGGCUAGCGAGGAGCCUCUCAUUCUCAUUGGUGGUACCCCUCAGAAACCAAAUAGCUGGUUUAAGAUUGAGAUUGCCGGAGAAGGAGCAGAAGCAAACACUUACAAGUUGACCACCUCAACCGGAACCGUUGGAACUAAGCCAGGGGUUUGGUUUGGUGCACCACAAUUGGUUGUCCCCAAUGAUGCGGCUAAGCCCUUACUCAUCAAAUUCAAAAAGGUGGAAGAUGUCACUACGGCGACUACUUCUACUACUCGGGUUGAGAAGUUAGGUCUAAGGAUGUUCCCAUUCUAAUAGCCAACUGGUAAAAAUCAUGUAAUAUAAUUAAUGCCUGAGACUCGUUCAUGGCCAAAAAUAACGGGUUGAGAUAAUACCCGCUUGCAUGUUCCUAUUUUCCAUAAAUAUAAUUUAAGUAUAUGUUUUAUUAAGACUAUGAAACGGGAUUGUCAAUGAGCCUGCUAAGUGCUAACAAUAAAAAGAAUAUGACAACUUUAAGUAUUGGAGAUGGUUUGAUCCGGUUAAUUCUGGUUAACUUGGUAUUGGUUUAAUGUCGAUUAUUAAGUUGUAUAUAUAAGCUUAAGAUUACAGUUUCAUUUUUAAUAAGUUUUGUAACAAACUCUGUUUUUUGACUGUUGAAUAAAGAUUCUCUUUGACUCCGAUUCUUCUUUGCUCGUGUUCAUCUUCUCCGAUUCACCGGAGUUAAUAUGGUAUCAGAGCCUAGAUUAUAAGCACAUAUGUAUGAAUUGAAAAGAGGAGUAAGCUUAUCAUAUGAAAUAGUAGUGGUAAUAGGAUGUGGAGUGGUUCUUUUAAGUGGUAUGGAAGAAGUAGAAGAUCUGUGACAAGAUUCUGUGUUUAUCUUGGUAAUUCACUGAUUUCUUGGAAAUCAAAGAAACAGAAUGUGGUUAGUAGAAGCAGUACUGAAGCAGAGUACAGGAGUCUUGCACAGGCUACUUGUGAGCUUAUUUGGUUGCAGCAAUUAUUGAAGGACUUACAUAUCUCGGUUACUUGUCCUGCAAAGUUAUUCUGCGACAACAAAUCGGCUCUUCAUUUGGCAAUGAAUCCAGUGUUCCAUGAGCGUACCAAACAUAUAGAGAUCGAUUGUCAUACAGUGAGGGAUCAAAUUAAAGCUGGAAAACUGAAGACAUUACAUGUUCCUACUGGCAAUCAACUUGCAGAUAUUCUAACCAAGCCUCUUCAUCCAGGACCAUUCCAUGGUUUGAUCAAGAAAAUGUCUCUGUCAAGUCUAUAUCUUCCAAACCAGACACUUAGAAGAUAAAGACUUGAGGGGGGUGUAUUGGAGAUGGUUUGAUCCGGUUAAUUCUGGUUAACUUGGUAUUGGUUUAAUGUCGAUUAUUAAGUUGUAUAUAUAAGCUUAAGAUUACAGUUUCAUUUUUAACAAGUUUUGUAACAAACUCUGUUUUUUGACUGUUGAAUAAAGAUUCUCUUUGACUCCGAUUCUUCUUUGCUCGUGUUCAUCUUCUCCGAUUCACCGGAGUUAAUAUUAAGAAAAUUAACUAAGAUAUAAAUUUCAUCAGAAUGAAUAUAUCUAUCAAAUAACAUUUAUCACAAGUAACGUACAAGUAUGAAUGUAUGAUGAGUUGACUGACUAAUAUUUAUGUUCUCCCUAUGAAAAGAUAGUGAAUUUGUAAUAAUAAUCCAAGAAAACGCUGCCAUUAUUUUUACAUUCAGCCAAUAAAGCAUAUAUCCCUUUUAUAAAAAAAAAACAAAAAAACAACGUAGAAGGUUGAUUUACAAAGUACGUCUCUCUCUCUCUCUCUCUCUCUCUCUCUCUCUCUCGUAAUUAUUUUUCUGUAUAUUUCAUACAUUACUGUUUAUUACAAUAUUAAUUCUGAUAUAUCUCAUUCUGGUCCUUAAUUAGCGUCUCCCAAAAUCAAUUUUUUGUUGAGAGAGAAAGAGAAAUUGAACUUUACCAUGGUUUCUUUACGUACAAGAUGCUGCGGUGAUGAGUUUGAUAACCAUGGAUAAUAUGAUAGGACGACUGGGACCUUUUUUUUAUUGGAAGGUUAUUACUUUUGAAUUAGUCCUCCAAUUCGAUUACAAACGGAGUUGCUUUGUUGUUAAUUAAUUACAGUCAUAGUUUAUGUUUACGUAGAAAUUAAACCCUAAACAAGAGUCUAUCGCUGCAGCUGCUAAGUAAAGCAUAUCUGUAUUAACUAUAUAUAUAGGGGACAUGUGUCUUGACUCUUGAUAUUGUAUUAAGUAUAAGUUAAAUUAAUUUAUGCAGAUUGUUCUGUAAAACAAGUUUUACGCUCUUAUUUUCUUCCACUUCUUGAUUCUUGUCACUUUCUGGUUAUAAAAAGGGAUAACUAAUUUUUUUCAGAUUUACUUUAUUUUGAAUUGCCGUUAGUCAUACAUUUAUUUUCUUGUGAUAACGUGGUGGAACCAUAUAUGGUUCAUGUUUUAAUUAAAUUGCUUGAAAUGAAUAAGAAAGAAAAGUACAGACAGAUAUAUACAGAGAUUGUUAAGAAUCAUUCGCACGUUGGUUCGAUCCCUAUCUCUCUGUUUGAAAUCUUGUCUUUUACCCAAUUUGAUAUUCCUUUCAUAUAUUAGUUAACAUAUUAUAUAUGGACUAUGGUGCAUGUUCCUUGUGCUGAAAAUCGAAGUUUGAAUCAUAACCAUAGAGUCUAAAUCGUAGUAGAAAGUUAGUUAACCAAGGAUCAGAUUGUGACGUGAGGAAAAAGCCAAUAAGCAUUUAUAAUGAUAAAUUUUGAGGUUCCUAUAAAUACCGAUACAGUAUGUGUUAUUUCUCCACAACUCAAGUCACUCAAACACACACAAAAAAAAAAAAACAAUCACAAUGAAGAAUCCUUCAGUAGUCUCUUUUCUGAUCACUCUCUUGUUUGCUGCAGCUGUCUGCAUCCAAGGAAGCGAAUCUGUGAAGGACACCGCCGGAAAUUAUCUUGAACCGAGUCAACAAGUCAAAAUCAUGUAAUUAGUAAAGCUUGAGACUCCUCCAUGGCCAAAAACAUGGGUUGAUAUAAUACCCGAACGCAUAUGUUCUUAUCUUCCAUAAAGUAAAAUCUUUAACGAAGAAAAAAAAAAGUCCUUCCAUAAAUACUAUAUAGUUAUGAGCCUGCUAACAAGAAAAAAAGAAUACAAAUUUAAAAAAAGAAUAAAUCAUAAAAGAAUGGAGGGGAUGAGAUUUUGUGAUGAAAAGAAUUAUAUUAACUCCUAUAGAAAUAGAGGUAUUGGUUACAUAGUUUAAUCGUAAGACGUACAUUUUCUAUCCUUAAUGAAUCGUAAAACAUUUUCUAUCCAGAUCUUUCUCUUCAAGCGUGUCCUUGUCCUCGAUCCUAAUUGCGACAAGUAUUCACCGAGCGGGAGCCUUUAUCCUUCGAUUAUCUUCCCGUGUGGGUUUAAUGUCCCCUGCUUUAGAGUUAUGUGGUCAGUGUGUUGUGACUUUUGUGCCUGCUAACUACUUUUCUUUUUCUAAUAAAAUGAAAUUGAGAAAGAAAAAAAAUGAAUCGUAAGACAUUUUUAUCGUUAAUACUAACGGAAAUGUAUCAAGGGUUUGUAAUUGGUUACAAAAAAUUGCUAGGAAAGCUUUGAAUCUUUUGAAGAUUGAGUUCAAAAGUCUGUACGUGUUAAUUAAUUAGGAUAUAGUCUUGUAGAUUAUGCAGAGUGUUAUACUAAAACUGAAUUUCCAUUUUAGGGAGUUUCUUUAGUAUUGAACUAUUGUCACUUAUUUCUUUUCUUGUAACAAAAAAAUCGUUGUGGAAAUCAUUUUGGUUCGUGUUUCAGUAACUUGUUUUAAAUUAACAAAAUUGUGGCCAGAAAGAAACAGAGAUGUUGAAAAUCAUUCAUACGUAUAAUUCACUCAUCCCUAUCUCUCUGUUUGAAAUGUUGUCUUCUUCCCUUGAAUUAUUUGAUCGUCUUUUUUUUUUUUUUGCUAUAUAUAUAUAUAUAUAUAUGUUAGUUAACAUGGACAUUGUGCCUGUUCCUCGUGCUAACAAAUCCAAGUUUGAAUCGAUUACCAUAGAGUCUAAAGUCUAACCCCUCUUUUCAACCCUCACUGUUGUAGAAAGUUAGAAAUCAAGGACCCAUCACGAGAAUGAUUAGAAUGUGACGUGCGGAAAAAGCCAAACAUUUAUAGCUGACAAAUUUAAGGUAUUAGGUUUUACUCAACGAAGAUGGGAAUUCGUUUGUCCUCUUUUUACUAUCAUGUCCGGUUUUAACCACAGAGGACUCCUAUAAAUACCGAUACGAAAUGUGUUUGCUCUCCACACCUCAACUCACUCAAACCCUAAGAAAACACAAAACAAUCACAAUGAAAAAACCUUCAGUGGUCUCUUUUCUCAUCACUCUCCUGUUGGCUGCAGCUGUCUGCAUCCACGGAGGCGAACCGGUGAAGGACAUUGUCGGAAAUUAUCUUAAAACCGAUCAACAAUACUUCAUCCAGCCGGCAAAUACCGACGGAGGUGGUCUUGUCCCAGCCCCCCCUACAAUAUUUCCUCUUUGCCCACUUGGCAUCGUCCAAACUCUCCAUCCGUAUCAACCUGGCGUACCGCCGGUUAGCUUUUCAAUGCCAUACGCGAACAUGGAAACUACUGUUUCUACAGAUGAUUAUGUAAAUAUCGAGUUCAAGUCCAACAUCUGGGCCUGCAAUAAGUUUUCCAAGUUUUGGAAAGUCAAUGAAACCUCAUCGGCUAGCGAGGAGCCUCUCAUUCUCGUUGGUGGUACACCGCAGGAACCAAAUAGCUGGUUUAAGAUUGACAUUGCCGGAGAAGGAGCGGGAGCAAACAGUUACAAGUUGACUAUAUUUAUAAUAUAUAUGGUUCAGUGAAUU